GACGAACGCUGGCGGCGUGCUUAGCACAUGCAAGUCGAACGGAAAGGCCCUGCUUUUGUGGGGUGCUCGAGUGGCGAACGGGUGAGUAACACGUGAGUAACCUGCCCUUGACUUUGGGAUAACUUCAGGAAACUGGGGCUAAUACCGGAUAGGAGCUCCUGCUGCAUGGUGGGGGUUGGAAAGUUUCGGCGGUUGGGGAUGGACUCGCGGCUUAUCAGCUGGUUGGUGGGGUAGUGGCUUACCAAGGCUUUGACGGGUAGCCGGCCUGAGAGGGUGACCGGCCACAUUGGGACUGAGAUACGGCCCAGACUCCUACGGGAGGCAGCAGUGGGGAAUAUUGCACAAUGGGCGGAAGCCUGAUGCAGCAACGCCGCGUGCGGGAUGACGGCCUUCGGGUUGUAAACCGCUUUCGCCUGUGACGAAGCGUGAGUGACGGUAAUGGGUAAAGAAGCACCGGCUAACUACGUG
RNAcentral lists this ribosomal RNA (468 nucleotides) under uncultured bacterium. RNAcentral describes it as "partial 16S ribosomal RNA". It matches the Rfam family "Bacterial small subunit ribosomal RNA", at positions 28 to 507 of the family's 1533-position model. The record is from RNAcentral.